UACGGAAGGCAGCAGUGGGGAAUAUUGCACAAUGGGCGCAAGCCUGAUGCAGCCAUGCCGCGUGUAUGAAGAAGGCCUUCGGGUUGUAAAGUACUUUCAGUCGUGAGGAAGGUGUUAAGGUUAAUAACCUUAGCAAUUGACGUUAGCGACAGAAGAAGCACCGGCUAACUCCGUGCCAGCAGCCGCGGUAAUACGGAGGGUGCGAGCGUUAAUCGGAAUUACUGGGCGUAAAGGGCACGCAGGCGGUUAAUUAAGUUGGAUGUGAAAUCCCCGGGCUUAACCUGGGAAUGGCAUUCAAGCUGGUUAGCUAGAGUCUUGUAGAGGGGGUAGAAUUCCAUGUGUAGCGGUGAAAUGCGUAGAGAUGUGGAGGAAUACCGGUGGCGAAGGCGGCCCCUGGACAAAGGCUGACGCUCAUGUGCGAAGCGUGGGGAGCGAACAGGGAUUAGAU
RNAcentral lists this ribosomal RNA (448 nucleotides) under uncultured bacterium. RNAcentral describes it as "bacterial SSU rRNA". It matches the Rfam family "Bacterial small subunit ribosomal RNA", at positions 340 to 783 of the family's 1533-position model. The record is from RNAcentral.